UCACUGUGUUUGAGGAACUGUGGGCCAGCU
RNAcentral lists this non-coding RNA (30 nucleotides) under Homo sapiens (human). Lineage: Eukaryota; Metazoa; Chordata; Mammalia; Primates; Hominidae. The record is from RNAcentral.